RNAcentral lists this transfer RNA (73 nucleotides) under Isosphaeraceae bacterium. RNAcentral describes it as "tRNA-Asp". It matches the Rfam family "tRNA". Rfam says of the family: Transfer RNA (tRNA) molecules are approximately 80 nucleotides in length. Their secondary structure includes four short double-helical elements and three loops (D, anti-codon, and T loops). The record is from RNAcentral. Lineage: Bacteria; Pseudomonadati; Planctomycetota; Planctomycetia; Isosphaerales; Isosphaeraceae.
GCCCUCGUAGAGUCGGUGGGAGGCUCGCCUGGUUGUCAGCCAGGAGAUACGGGUUCAACUCCCGUCGAGGGCG